RNAcentral lists this long non-coding RNA (835 nucleotides) under Sinocyclocheilus grahami. RNAcentral's name for it is "lncRNA (ENSSGRG00000045012.1)". The record is from RNAcentral. Lineage: Eukaryota; Metazoa; Chordata; Actinopteri; Cypriniformes; Cyprinidae.
GCAGGCAGCCCAUCCACACACCUGCGCUGUGCCAGCCUCCCUCAUGCUCUACCCUGCGUUUCUCUAAAAUCAGCAUGAGACGGUCUGAUCUGGGCUGGGUUGCGUAGCCCAACUGUACCUGCCACAUGCCCAUCCUCAGGGUGGCUCUCCACUGAGCACUAUGAAUAGAAACUUAGCAAACGAGAGAUAAGCAGUCGGCUUUGGCACAUGCCACACUCCUAGCAGCACUUUGGGGUUGCCAUGGAAACAGGGACAAGUACAGCUUACGCUGCCCCGACAUCUUCCUAUCAUGCCCACUCAAGAUCAUUAACAUUGCAUGUUUAUUUCCUAACCUCCAUGACAGAUUUCUGCGUUGGUUCACCUCUGAUCACGCUGUCCAGGCCUGAGUGCCCAUCUGGAGGCCACACGGUCCAUCAACCCAAUCUCCUAUAUAAACCCGGUCAAGAGGAGAAUUGAUCUAUCGCUCCAGACUGGUGAGGAAUUACUUUGCCAAUCCCUGUGUGACGAAGCUUUCCCAGCAGGCUCAAUGCUAAGGCCGAUAGAUUUUGGAAAGUCUUGAGAGGGGGAGCGAGUGCCACGUGUUCCAUCCAGGCAUCUCCAAAUUAAUUAUUCACAUUAAUGGGAUGCGUCGGGUGGCUUUUAUUUGCUGAACAUCAAAGCAGGGUCACUGGGUUUGGUUAUUGCUAAAAAUGAUGACAAAUAGGCAGGAUAGAAAGUGAAUAAACUGUCAUGUUUUACAUGGACACAUUAUUGUGCACACUUCAAUGCCAGUUCAAUCUCUUCUUCAUGAAUAAAAAGACAUGUGCAUCUGCGGAGUAUUAUAAUUGUGGUCAUU